Molecule: ribosomal RNA, 584 nt
Filed under: uncultured archaeon
Lineage: Archaea
Description: bacterial SSU rRNA
Rfam family: Archaeal small subunit ribosomal RNA
Source: RNAcentral
AACCGCCCUGUUAUCAGAGUGGGACUAAGCCAUGCGAGUUAACGUAGCAAUACGUGGCAUACGGCUCAGUAACACGUAGUCAACAUGCCCAGAGGACGUGGAUAACCUCGGGAAACUGAGGAUAAACCGCGAUAAGUCAUGAUUCCUGGAAUGGUUCAUGGCUGAAAUCUAUAUGGCCUUUGGAUUGGACUGCGGCCGAUCAGGCUGUUGGUGAGGUAAUGGCCCACCAAACCUGUUACCGGUACGGGCUCUGAGAGGAGGAGCCCGGAGAUGGGCACUGAGACAAGGGCCCAGGCCCUAUGGGGCGCAGCAGGCGCGAAACCUCUGCAAUAGGCGAAAGCUUGACAGGGUUACUCUGAGUGAUUUCCGUUAAGGAGAUCUUUUGACACCUCUAAAAAUGGUGUAGAAUAAGGGGUGGGCAAGUCUGGUGUCAGCCGCCGCGGUAAUACCAGCACCCCGAGUGGUCGGGACGAUUAUUGGGCCUAAAGCAUCCGUACCGGUCCUACAAGUCUUCCGUUUAAAUCCACCUGCUCAACAGAUGGGCUGCGGAAGAUACUAUAGGGCUAGAGCGGGAAGGCAGCCGU